Molecule: non-coding RNA, 615 nt
Organism: Gongylonema pulchrum
Lineage: Eukaryota; Metazoa; Nematoda; Chromadorea; Rhabditida; Gongylonematidae
Source: Rfam
CCCUCAUCAGACGAUGCAAUACUGGUCGAAGCAACAACUGCAGCGAACAAAGCAAUGAACUGAGGAGCUGAAAGUAAGUAAAUAUGUGAAAAGCGUCAAACAGUUUUAUUUUUGCUUUAAGUCUUACUAAGGCUACACGAAAACAUCAGAUCACAGGUAACAUGCCCUAACCUGUACCUGGUAGCGGGUCGCAUUUACACAUUGUAGAUAGGCUAGUUACCUGUAAUGUGAUUUUUUCGUGUGUUGAGAGCUGGAACGGAAAUCCAGCAUCGGCACUGGAAUUAUACGUACGAAUAGCAGAUAUAUCUCUCUCAUAUAUGUAUUGAGAACAGACUUAGAAUGUUCAGGAUGGGCAUGGUGACUUUUGGUGUAACCGGUUGUAACGAGUAACGGAGAAUAAGGGUUCGACUCCGGAGAGGGAGCCUACCACAUCCGAGGAAGGCAGCAGGCACGCAAAUUACCCACUCUCAGCAUGAGAAGGUAGUGACGAAAAAUAACAAGACCGUUCUGUUUGAGGCUGGUUAUCGAAAUGGGUACAGUUUAAACCCGUUAACGAGGGGAUCUAUGAGAGGGCAAGCCUGGUGCUAGCAGCCGCGGUAAUCCCAGCUCUUACGG